This 155-nucleotide ribosomal RNA is filed under the name Lamprospora sp. TL-2012. RNAcentral describes it as "partial 5.8S ribosomal RNA". It matches the Rfam family "5.8S ribosomal RNA". Rfam says of the family: 5.8S ribosomal RNA (5.8S rRNA) is a component of the large subunit of the eukaryotic ribosome. It is transcribed by RNA polymerase I as part of the 45S precursor that also contains 18S and 28S rRNA. Functionally, it is thought that 5.8S rRNA may be involved in ribosome translocation. The record is from RNAcentral. Lineage: Eukaryota; Fungi; Ascomycota; Pezizomycetes; Pezizales; Pyronemataceae.
CUUUCAACAACGGAUCUCUUGGUUCUCGCAUCGAUGAAGAACGCAGCGAAAUGCGAUAAGUAGUGUGAAUUGCAGAAUUCAGUGAAUCAUCGAAUCUUUGAACGCACAUUGCGCCUCCUGGUAUUCCGGGAGGCAUGCCUGUCCGAGCGUCAUGC